AACGCUGGCGGCAUGCUAAGACUGCAGUCGAACGAAGAUCGGACGAAUGAGAUACUGUAUUGAAUGAGUCUAAUAUCUUAGUGGCGAACGGGUGAGUAACAGGUAGGUAAUCUACCCUAGAGACGGGGAUAACGUUUGGAAACGAACGCUAAUACCGGAUAGUAUAGUAAACCGCAUGGUUAAGUAUUUAAAGGUGCUUCGGCAUCACUCUAGGAGGAGCCUGCUUCGUAUUAGCUAGUUGGUAAGGUAACGGCUUACCAAGGCAAUGAUGCGUAGCCGAGCUGAGAGGCUGAUCGGCCACACUGGAACUGAGACACGGUCCAGACUCCUACGGGAGGCAGCAGUUAGGGAUAUUCGGCAAUGGGGGAAACCCUGACCGAGCAAUGCCGCGUGAACGAAGAAGUAUUUCGAUAUGUAAAGUUCUGUUGUUAAGGAAGAAAGAUAGUGAUAGGAAAUGAUCAUUAUUUGACGGUACUUGACCAGAAAGCCCCUGCUAACUACGUGCCAGCAGCAGCGGUAAUACGUAGGGGGCGAGCGUUAUCCGGAAUUAUUGGGCGUAAAGGGUGCGUAGGCGGCCUAUUAAGUCAGAGUUGAAAGCCCA
RNAcentral lists this ribosomal RNA (601 nucleotides) under uncultured bacterium. Its description in RNAcentral is "bacterial SSU rRNA". It matches the Rfam family "Bacterial small subunit ribosomal RNA", at positions 32 to 604 of the family's 1533-position model. The record is from RNAcentral.